Molecule: transfer RNA, 83 nt
Filed under: Coprinellus micaceus
Lineage: Eukaryota; Fungi; Basidiomycota; Agaricomycetes; Agaricales; Psathyrellaceae
Description: tRNA-Thr
Rfam family: tRNA
About the family: Transfer RNA (tRNA) molecules are approximately 80 nucleotides in length. Their secondary structure includes four short double-helical elements and three loops (D, anti-codon, and T loops).
Source: RNAcentral
GGGCAGGUGAUCCGAUUGGUAAUGGUGGUUCUCUGUAAAAGAAUUGGUUAACGCCGUUAAAGGUUCGAUUCCUUUUCUGCUCA